AUCUCCUUACGCUCAUCCUCGUUUUUGCUAUGGCACUAACAACAACAUGAAACUAAUAAUAAAUUAUUGUUAUUAUCCGGAGUUUUCAUACUUAGUUUCUAUCUGGGUUUUACUAAAUUUACCUGUUGGUUCUUAUUUAAACUCUUUUUUUUUCUUUUUCUUUUUUUCUUUUUUUUGUGUAUGUGUGUGGUUUCUCCUAGUCCAUUUUGAUGUGUUAUAUUUCAAAUAUAUUUGAUUCAUAUGUUGAAUUAUUUAUAUUUAUAUAAUAAAUUAUUUUUUACUUGAUAUAUUUUUAUUAUUAAAAAUAACAGCUUAAACACAGGCAUACAAUAUAUAUAUAUAUAUAUAUAGUCAAAGAAUUGGUGGCUGCCAUUGAAAUAUUCUAAUUGGCUAAAUUCAAAAUGAUUUAUGAUUGAGUAAAAUUAUUAAACUUUUAUUUUUUAUGAUUUUUUGCAAUACUGUUAACCAAUACACAUUUUUUCUAUUUUUAAUUUUUUUUAAAAAAAUGUUUAGAAAAAAUUAUGGCAGGGUAUUUUUGAAUAGUUGAAAAGAAUCAUUAAAAAGGAUAAUUUUUAAAAUUCAGGUGAUCACACAUCAAAUGAAAUUCUUAUGAGACCUAAAAACCAUUUAGCUUGCUGAACUGGUCUCCUUCUCUGGUGUGUGCGUAUAUUGUAAUAUAUAUAUAUAUAUAUAUAUAUAUGCUAAAAAAUAAUAUUUGAUGCGGUGAUUAAAUGCUACAAAAUGAAUUUCAAUCAUUUUCAAAUUACAAAACUUUUGUGGGAAUUGACAAGGAAAUAUUUAGGCAACAGUUCAAUUUGAUGUUAACAACUUUAUACUCUUUCUAUAUUUAGAUAAUAUCUACAUUAAAAAACAUCAAGAAAAAAAUUGUAUUAUACUUAUUAGACAAUCCAUCAAAGUUGAGUUCAUUCUGUAAUGGAUUUGAAAGUAUCCAGUUUUUAGUCCAAAUGUUUUUGUUAACAAAUAUUUAGAUUAAUUGAACCAACAUGGAUUAGUUUUCAAAAUGUUGAAAAAAAAAAACAAAAAAACAAAAAAAAAAAUCAUUAUAUUGAACUUUUGGAAAAAAAUGUUAAUGGAACUUGUGUAUCUUCAUUAAAUUUACACAAAAGGAAAAAAAUGAAAUUGCAUUCAAAAUAAAGUGGUAUUUCUGAUGAAAUUGAGUGCAUAACAAGGGUUAUAGUUUGAUUGUAUAUAUACAUUGAAAUAUUCAAAUGCAAUUUCUUGUGUGUAUAUAUUCAAGGAUUUAAUUUUGACACCAUUCAUAAUGCAUGAUUUAAAUUAUGGUCUGUAAAUGUAAUUGUAUUUCAUGUCGCCUCAUUUGAAUUGUAGAAUGUUUGAUUUGAUGAUUUAACUUGCUAAACAGUUUGAAAAAAAAAUUAAAUAGAAAAAUCAAUCGUGAUCAUCAUUAUUGUAAUAAUACAUAUAAACUUUAGAAUUUUCGGUUAGAAUUGAAUCAUUUAUUAGAAUAAUUUGGUAAUUUUUUAUGAAUAAAAAUUAUGAUUUUUACACCCAAAAUGUUGAUGCAUUUUAACUUUGGCUUUUUGACUAAAAUAUUUCAUACACAAGAUCAUUCAAGUAUUACCAAAACAAACAAAAAAAGAUUGAGAAGAAUUUAUCAACAUGGAGGAAAAAAGAUCUUCAAGAAAGGUUUCCAUAGUAUCAAUUCCAAUUCCUAAAGUUGAGAGUUCAAUGAAAGAUAAUAAAUCACCAUACACGGCUGCUAUGGAGCUUGAAAAAGCCCGAGAAGAGGAAAAACAAAUAUACAAGUUGUUUUUAGAACAUGCAAAUGUAUUGGAGCUUCUCAAUACAUAUGAGCAUUUAAAGAAUUCAAAGCCUUCACCCACUAUUAUGAGUGCAUGGAUGUGGCAUUCAUGGAGGAAAGAACCAAACAAUUUAGAAAGCUUGGAGAAGAAUGGUGAAGUAGAAAGAGUAAGAAAUAGCAGAAGAGGAGCACUUGAGAAGGUUAUGGUUGAAGAAGAACAACAAGAAACAAAUUCCAACAAAUUUGUUGAAGGAGAAGGAAAGGCUUUUUUAGGGAUGAAUAUUUAUUAUUUUGGUAGUUUCAAGCAUGGUUUUUUGCAUGGCCAUGGUUUAUUGAAGUGGAAGUCCAAUUUUGGAGAAGAUCAUUCAUACUUAGGGACUUUCUUUUAUAAUUGCUUGCAUGAAAGUGGAAAAUAUGAUUGGGAUGGAAAUGGCACUUACAUUGGCGCGAUCUUUGAUGGAUUCCCAAACAAAUCAGGUAACAUGCGAAAGGGUACUUGUGGAGAUGCAUAUCGUGGAAAUUUUGCUCAUGGUUUACGAGAGGGAUUGGGUGAAAUGACAUAUAACGAUGGGAUAAAUAGUUUGAAUUAUAUGGGUGAAUGGAUGCAAGAUCAAAAACAUGGUCAUGGAAGAUUUCUAUACUUACAUUCAACUUAUGAAGGGGAAUGGAGGCAUGGAAAGCAUGAUGGGAUUGGCAUCCAAACUCAAAUUGUAGACAAAACAAAAAGCAAUUGUUUACAGAUGCCUGUAUAUUCUGCUACUGUUUAUGAAGGAAGCUGGAUCAGAGGCUUUCCACAUGGAAGUGGGAAACAGUUAUGGAUUUGGGACCAAAACAAGGAGAUCCUUGGUGUUUUGCAUAAUGCCUAUAUUGGAGGCUUUGAAAAUGGAAUGAGGUCCAAUAGAGGCACUUUUUACUAUGCUAAUGGUGCAAUAUAUCAAGGAUAUUGGAAAAAUAAUUUAAAAAAUGGACACGGUUUGUAUACAUAUGAGGAUGGAAGAUUGAACAAAGUCAUUUGUAAUUUAGAUCACUUUGACAUAAACAACAACAAAGAUACAAUGAUUCUAAUCAGACAUGCUUUGGACAAUGUCACAAACAACACUGAUGACAUGGACAGGCUGAAAUUAAAAUUGUUGUAUAUAACCCUAAGAUUUGCUAAUGCCUUUCGAACUACAUUCCACAACUACAGUGCUCUAAGCAUGCAAGCAAGUGAAAACAUCCCACAAGAAAAGCAAGAGCAGGUUGAUUCCACACCAACAUUUACAAAAGUGAACCAGAAUUCUUCUAGGAAAUCAAGCCUUUCAAAACGUGAUGGAGAAAAGCUUUUGUCUCCUCAACUCCUCUUGCCGGAAAAUAAGAACUUAGAACAACAAUAUUCAAAUGAAGGCGGCAUACCAUGUGAAAUUGACCAAUCUUUGCUUCUUUUAAAUGCCAUCUUCAAAAACCAUGGUUUGCCCAAUUCCACAAUUACCAAAGGCUCAGAAAACAACUUUUCUAAAGAGUAUUUGGAGCAUAUAGCAAAGUAUGUGCAAAAUGAAGGAAGUGAUGUCACUUCUAUUAGUAGUGGAUUUGGUGAUGUCAAUGACAAUUUGUGUAAUAUUUAUAAGAACAUGCGCUUGGAAGGCCAAUCGUAUGCUAUGACAGUGGAAAGUUUUUGGCAUCUGUGUUAUAGUGCUCAUAUUAUGGAACCUGGACUUGGAUUAGCUCAAAUAGAUGUGAUAAUCUAUCCUCCAUCAAAUGCAUGGGAUGAUGCUUUUGACCUGUAUUGCCCGAAAAGAAAACUGAUUCACCAAGAAGUAGUUGAAAAUCUAAUAAAAAUUGGUUUAACCAAAUGUUUUGGGUGUGGAAUUCAACUUGAGAAGAAGUUGCAUGAGUUUUUUGAGAGUUGCUUCAAUAAAAUUGGGAACAACAAUGAAGAUUCAUUAUAUAAGUUUUCUGUGGACCAACCUACUCAAGCUGUUCUUCUUCAAUACAAGCAACAUUUCAAAGUUUUAUUUGGAAAGUUUAUUUUGAAAAGUAAAACAAAUGGGUUUUUUAUUAAAAUUAAGCACAUAUUUAAUUUUUUCUUGAAUGUUGUGUAUAAUUUUGAAGAUCAAAAACAUUUAGAUGGCAGUGCUCCAAAGGAAAGUAAUCCUAUUCCACAAAAGCGGCCACCAUCUAAAACCGUUGAACAAAAAGUUCAUCAAGAUGAGAAUGUUGCAGAUAAUAAAACAACUGGAUCAUAUCAAAUUUUAUUGAAAACAAUUUCAGAAACAUUGUAUCAAAUUAAAUAUCAAGAUGGGGAUCCAACUUUGUAUUUAGAACUUGAAAUCAAUUUCAAGGAGUUUGAAUUGAUAUUGCUGCAACUUGCAAAUUUGAAACUCGGUCCUUAUAAGUACUAUGCAAAUGAAAGUCCUGUGAAAACAAAUGCUGAAUUAAUACAAAGUUUUAUGAAUGAAAUAUCACAAUUGUCUCUCAAAGCUAAAGUUUCAUUUGAAGACAAAGAACUCUCAUCCAAAAAAUAAGAAAUUUGAUUGAAUAAUAAGUAGGAAUGCCAUAAAAUAUUGCUAGCGAGAAAACAUAGAUGAAACAUGAAUCAUGUUACAGUUCUUUAAAUCCAGUACUUAUAGAUAUAAAGGAUAACCAUCUAAAAUUUAAUAUAAUUACGUCAAAAAAACAUAUUAAAUUCGGCAAUGCUAUGAGGAUGGAAUUGCAUUAAGUUUAUUAUAUUAUAUAAUCUGAUUUUUAUUGAAGUUUUUUAGAAACUUUUAUGCCACAUUGUAAGAUUUUCAAAUCAAAAACCAUUUCAACAAAUAAGGACACUGUUUUGAAAUUUUAUCAGAAAAGUACAACAUUCACUAUUGUAUCUUUUUCAAAGGUUGUGAUGUGUUCUAAGCACAGCAAGGACUAAAAAGUACAUUUGAACUUUAAAGUAGCCAUCAUACAUGAUUACGCAUUUUGAAUCAAUUUAUUGGAAUUAUUAUUUUUCCUUAUUUAUAUAUGAUUGUGUAUUGUAUCACUGGUUCCACUACAGUCAUUUAACAGCUGUGAACAAAUUAUGAUUGUGGAAAUAAAUCAAAAAACAAGAUCACAAGACUAGACUCAUCUAUAUUCACACUGAAGAGCUUGGCUAUGGUCGUAAAGAGGAUACAAUUUUGGGGUGGAGGGAAUUAUAAAAACAACAAAUGGGUCAUAUUCUACACUUCCAAAAACUAGCAUCUUGGCUUAUCAUCAUCAUUAUCAUCAAAAUAAUAAAUAGUAGUAAUAUAUAUCACAAGGAAGAAGGGAUACCACAAAGAACUCUAAAUGAGACAACCCUACCCCCAUCCAUGAGAAGGAAUAGGACGUAGGGAACCAAAUGGGGACACAAUAUUGCACCCUUGUGGUGCAAUAUUGUUGUUGCGGCCGUGAUGGUGGAGGUGAUUGUUUUCAUUACCCCCUCCACAUCAACCCCCAUCCACUAUUGUGGUCUUUUUGAUGUGAAUGUGUUUGAGAAUUGAUUGGAAUCCUUCACCAGCCAUUUUUUUGAUUUGGGUGGCUCACUCAAUGAAAAAGAAACCACUUGAUGAAGGAGGAAGAAAAAAAAAAGAAAAAAGAAAAACCAUAAUGGUUUCAUAUUUGGUGAAACACUGAAACAUUAUGUUAGAAGAAAAAUAUUUUCGUUCAUUUUCAAAUACAAUUUAAAUAGCUAUUGUGUGUUUCUCAAAGUUAUAAACCCCCUACAUUAUAUAUGUUUUAUCAUGGUCAAGUAGAUGUAAGGUAAAAAAAUUGAACUGAAUUAAAGUUGAAGUGAUAUUCUUUAAGUAUGGAUUCAAGUUACAUUCAUUUUUCAAAUUCAAACAUCCAUUAUAUAAAAAUUCACAUGUAACAAUAAAAGCACAAGUAUAGUUUUUGUUUACUAGUUUGUUGUAAUUUAAAAUCAUGAACAUUGAAACCGAAUGUAGUUUAUAACUUCGUCUUUUUGUAAAAUUUCAGAUAGAAUUUGAAAUUUGAAACCUAAUCUCUGAAGAU
Molecule: non-coding RNA, 5767 nt
Organism: Physcomitrium patens
Lineage: Eukaryota; Viridiplantae; Streptophyta; Bryopsida; Funariales; Funariaceae
Source: RefSeq, a predicted model, not a curated record